This 275-nucleotide ribosomal RNA is filed under the name uncultured bacterium. Its description in RNAcentral is "partial 16S ribosomal RNA". It matches the Rfam family "Bacterial small subunit ribosomal RNA", at positions 399 to 691 of the family's 1533-position model. The record is from RNAcentral.
GCGUGUGUGAUGAAGGCCCUAGGGUUGUAAAGCACUUUCACUGGUGAAGAUGAUGACGGUAGCCAGAGAAGAAGCCCCGGCUAACUUCGUGCCAGCAGCCGCGGUAAUACGAAGGGGGCGAGCGUUAUUCGGAAUUACUGGGCGUAAAGGGAGCGCAGGCGGUUCAUUUAGUCAGACGUGAAAGCCCCGGGCUCAACCCGGGAGGUGCGUUUGAUACUGGUGAGCUAGAAAUCAGAAGAGGAUAGUGGAAUUCCCAGUGUAGAGGUGAAAUUCGU